RNAcentral lists this long non-coding RNA (669 nucleotides) under Homo sapiens (human). RNAcentral's name for it is "MIR646 host gene". Lineage: Eukaryota; Metazoa; Chordata; Mammalia; Primates; Hominidae. The record is from RNAcentral.
AUCCACUGGGAGUCCUUUUGCGUUUCAGAUGCUCCCAGGCUCUCCCGCAGUUUAAAGACUUAACUCAGCGGCUUUCAGGGCCUGUGGUUGAGGGACUCCGAAAGAACUGUUGCUGGUGGACCGGUUCAGGGUCUUGACUUCGCCACACAAAAGAACUUGAGAGCACGUCCAAAGUAAAGCUAAGACCUCUAGUACAGUGUUCAAUGGAACUGGUGAGAAAAGACGUCCUUGCUGUGUUCCUGAUAUGAAGAGGAAAGCAGUCCUUCUCCAUUAAGUAAAAUGCUGACAACAUGAGCCUCCCGUGGUCGGAACGGGCUUGUGAAGGCGGUGCUGGGGUGCACCAGGGCAGCAGCUACAGCUACAACUCAAAUCCCAGGAACACAGGAUUGCAGUGACCUACAUAAUUUGGGCUCAAAUACCUUCAAGGCAUUCCGAAGAGACAGAGAACACCAGAACAAGGGAGAAUUGGAGUGGAGGUGGAUGCUGAAAUUCCAGUAUAAAAAUCUACUCUGGCUGAGGAAUAAGACAAAAUGGUCAAGCCUGAGACACCUGAAGCCCUGGACUUGGAAUCUGAAGCUGUCAUCAGCCAGUACACCUAUGAACCUGUGGAAGACCUGAAGUACCUGUUUAAAAGACAGCCAAAAGAUAAGUAAAUACUUCCCAAAUUUC